ACAUGCAUGUUCAGCUUUAUCUACACAGUAGAAGUGGAUAAGAAGAAACAUACGGUUGUUGGAUUGCAAUAAUACAUUCCAGCUUCUUCACUUUCAUGCUUUGGCUUUCAAACAUUCACUUCUUGAAUUAAGGUCAGUUCUAAUAUUAAUCAUGGCAGAUGCACUUGUUUCGGCCCUUGUGAGCGAGGUGGUGCGGACACUUAGUGAUGCAGCUAAGGAAGAGUUUGCUCUGUUUCGGGCAUUCAGCCGCGAUAUUUUGGCUCUCAAGGAAGAUUUCAAGCAGAUCCAGGCUGUUCUUGAAGAUGCAGAAGAGAAACAAGUCAAGGAAAAGGCUGUAGAGUUAUGGCUUCGACGUCUCAGAUCUGCAUCCAUGAAGGUUGAAGAUGUGCUGGACGAGGUCAAAACUGAAGCUUUGCUACGUCGUCUACACAAAGAAAUAAACAUCGAAAGAGGCAUUAAAUACAAGGUAACAGCCUUAUUCUCCAAAUUUAAGUUUCGUGUUAGGGCUGCUCAUAAAGUUAAAGCCAUAAGAACAAAACUUGAUGACAUAGCAUCUAAGAGACUUAAGUUUAACUUGACCUCUAGUGACACAAGUCAUGUAGAUAUGGGAGUUGAAGGUGAGAUGCCUAAUAGGGAAACUAGCUCGCUUAUACAUGAUUCUUCAAAAAUUUUAGGAAGAGAUGAAGAGGUGGAGAUGGUUACAAGAACGAUAUGCAACAAAGAUAUAGGAAAAUAUGACAAUGGUGAGAUUCGGGUGUAUGGUAUUUGGGGUAUGGGAGGUCUAGGAAAGACUACUCUAGCUCAAUUAGUCUAUAACCAUAAGAGGGUUGAUCAAUAUUUCGACUUAAAAUGUUGGGCCUAUGUCUCUGAAAACUUCCAAGUUAAAGAGAUAAUAAAAGGAAUUAUCACAUCCAUAGAUAAACGUGAGUGUACACUUACACAUCUAGAUGUGUUGCAAGAGUCCCUUCAAAGCAAGAUAAGGGAAAAGAAAUUUUUAAUUGUACUGGAUGACGUUUGGGCUGAAGAGAACGAGAAGGAAAAGUGGGAAAGAUUAAGUGGAACAUUAAGUUGUGGGGCAGAAGGAAGUAUUGUUGUGAUGACAACACGGUCGAAGAGAACUAGUAGAAUGAUGGCUAAGGUUGACGAGCUACAACAUGAAUUGGGAUGUCUAUCAGAAGAGAAGUCAUGGUUAUUAUUCAAGAAGCAUGCAUUUGCACAAGGAAGAGUGGGGGAUGACGUACGUAAGCUAGAGCCUAUUGGAAGGGAAAUAGUUGUGAAAUGUAAGGGACUGCCUUUGGCGGUGAAGACUUUGGGCAGCUUAAUGUGGUCAAAAAGUAGUAGCAACGACUGGCAACGUGUGAAAGACAGUAACAUAUGGAACUUACAAGAAAAGAAUGUCUUGCCUGCUUUAAAGUUAAGUUAUGAUAACUUGGUUCCACAUUUAAAGAGAUGUUUUUCUUAUUUUUGUUUGUUUCCUAAAGGCCACAAACUAAAAAAAGAUGAACUGAUCUUGUUGUGGGUAGCAAACGGUUUCAUUCCGCCCGGAAAAGAAACAGACAACUUGUAUGUGAUAGGGGUAGAAAUUUUUAAUUGUUUGAUUUGGAAAUCCCUCUUCCAGGUUGAGAACGGAUAUGUGGAUGGUAUUGAUAGAUGUAAAAUGCAUGAUCUAGUGCAUGACAUGGCACGGCAUGUAAUGAAACAUGAUUGUUUAGUUAUAGAGCCUGCUUGUAACGAUGUUAAAAUCCCAGAUGAGGUUCUUCAUUUGAGCUCGUCAUGUCCGGAUGAAAAGUUAAUUUUAUCAUCUGAGGAUUUAGGAAAGUUAACAUCUUUAAGGUCGAUAUUCAUGUUCGGGGAGGGGGAUGAAGGUUGCAUCAAUCAGCUUUUCAACCACGUGUAUGUAAGGGUAUUACACCUGGCUCUUACGGAGUUAAGGACAUUACCCGAAUCAAUUUGUAAACUCAAACAUCUGAGAUACUUGAAUUUAUCAAACUCAGAUAUAGAAGUUUUACCCGAGUCGAUUAUGUAUCUUCAAAACUUGCAAGUGUUGAUUUUAUUUUAUUGUUGGAGAUUGCGUAAAUUGCCUGAAUCGAUUUGCAAGCUCAGAUAUCUGAAUUACUUGACCUUACUAGGCUUGGGAAUAGAAGUUUUACCUGACGGCCUUAAAGACAUGAUUAGCCUUCAACGUUUGGACAUCAAUGAUUGUGAUUCACUCCGACAUUUGCCGUGUGGAAUCGGGAAAUUAACUAGUCUUCGAAUGCUUCCAUGGUUUCCUAUUGGUAAGGAGAGAGGGGCCAAAAUAAGUGAAUUGGGGGUUUUAAAUCUUCUUGAGGGGAAGUUGAAGAUAGAAGGACUUGAGAAUGUUGGAGGUUUAAGUGAGGCUAAGAGUGCCAAUCUCAAAUGCAAAAAGAAUCUGUCGAUUUUGGUGUUAAGGUGGUCAGAAUGUGAUUUGGACAGUGAUACAGAAGAAUUAUAUACAGCAACAAUGUUUCCAGAUUUCGAAGAGGUUCUUGAAGGAUUAGAGCCAAAUCCAUCUUUAGAGAUAUUGAAAAUGAAGUAUUUCAUGGGAAAGACUAUUUCUCCAAGUUGGAUGGACAAUUUAAGGAAUUUGGUUGAAAUUGUUUUCUCUCAGUGUAAUAACUGUGAGCAAAUUCCACCACUUGGGAGACUCCCCAGUCUUAGGGUUAUUAAGUUGUCGCUCAUGCUUUCUUUGAAGUGUUUUCAUGAUGACGAUAUAAACAUGUCAGUAGACAACAGCGAUAUGUUUAUUUGUUUACAAAGAUUAGAGAUCAUCGGGUGUUGGGAAUUAAUUUCUUUACCAGAUAAUCUUCCAAAACUGGAGGAUUUAGAAUUAUAUGAAUGUGACAAAUUAAUUUCUUUACCGUGUAAUCUUCCACGCAUCAGAGAGUUGAGAAUUGAAGAUUGUAAUGGAUUACUUUCUCUACCGGAUGAGAUUCAGAGUUUCAAGGAUCUUAACAAACUUGAGAUAACAAGGUGUAAACAUCUAAAUAAAAGGUGUAAAAGAGAGAAGGGUGAAGAUUGGCAUAAAAUUUCUCACAUUCCCGAUCUAAGUAUUGAAGCUCCAUUCUCUUCGGAUGAUGAUGAUGAUGAUAGUGAUGAUGAAGAAGAGACUGACGAAUGGUGAUUGGUGACUGCACUUGGCACUCUAUACACGAGAUAAAGAGGUGGAACAUGUCCUACUUGCUUAGUGCUUAUGGUAUCCGUCUACACCACACGAUUAAAAAGGGUUAGUGAGUUGCUAAAAUUUUCUGCUGAAAAUGGAAUUUUAUGUAUGAAACAGUGGGAAGCUGUGGUUUUUCCUCUUUGCCUGACUUCUUUAAUGUAUAUCGGCUCGUUUAUCCUCAAAAUUUUAUCAAUUUGGAGCUCGUGGGCCGAACAUGGGGACCGUCAGAUAGAUAUAUCAUUUCAUGGCUUAAAGAGUGGUCUUCAAAACCUCAUUAACUGGAUGGUUUCAGCCGUUUACGAUAUUUCAGUUUGGAGAAUGUAUAUUGUGGCUCCCGUUACGGAAGAGUUAGUUUUCAGAGGUUGUAUGAUAUCUUUACUUCUAUGUGGAGGAUUUAAAGCAUAUACAGUAAUACUUCUCUCUCCUGUUCUUUUUAGCCUAGCUCACUUGAACCAUUUAUUGGAGUACUACAUGCAACAAAAUACCAGCUUGCUGAAAGCUUCCAUGGUUGUAGGUUUCCAGCUGGGCUACACAGUGAUAUUUGGGUCAUAUGCAUCAUUUCUCUUUGUUCGAACUGGACAUAUAGCAGCGCCACUCGUGUCACAUAUGUUCUGCAACAUCAUGGGACUUCCUGCCUUCUUUUCACGAAGAACAUGGUUGGUGAGCGUGGGAUUUGUAGCAGGGGCGAUAAGCUUUGUAUAUCUUUUGUUUCCGCUUACUUCUCCAGCGUUGUACAAUGAUAGAACCGACAAUUGCGAAUGCUGGCACACUUACUGCUAUUGGACUUAGAGACUAUGAAUUUACUUAUCCGCGAUCACCAAAUGUGGCUACAGAGGAUAUAUCCUUCAACUGGAUUCAAGAUAGUUUUCAGUCAUAGAGUUUUUUGUCCAGAAUGGAUCUUCUUGCUUGCCAUGCAGAUCAGUUAUUUGUUUAUCUGCGUGUAUCGACAUUUUAGUCUGAAUUCAACGAUUUCAAAAUGAACAACUUAUAUUGUACAAAGAACAAGUCAUCUUAGGCUACACCAGUACAUUGUGUGGCAUUUAAUUAGUUUGGCUGGUUUGAGA
This is an RNA transcript of Helianthus annuus (common sunflower), 4245 nucleotides long. It is a transcript of the gene named CAAX prenyl protease 2, with no coding region annotated. NCBI's taxonomy places the organism in Eukaryota, Viridiplantae, Streptophyta, Magnoliopsida, Asterales, Asteraceae. The transcript has 10 exons. The record is from RefSeq and is a predicted model, not a curated record.